ACUGGGCGUAAAGCGCGCGUAGGUGGCUUGAUAAGCCGGUUGUGAAAGCCCCGGGCUCAACCUGGGAACGGCAUCCGGAACUGUCAGGCUAGAGUGCAGGAGAGGAAGGUAGAAUUCCCGGUGUAGCGGUGAAAUGCGUAGAGAUCGGGAGGAAUACCAGUGGCGAAGGCGGCCUUCUGGACUGACACUGACACUGAGGUGCGAAAGCGUGGGUAGCAAACAGGAUUAGAUACCCUGGUAGUCCACGCCGUAAACGAUGUCGACCAGCCGUUGGGUGCCUAGCGCACUUUGUGGCGAAGUUAACGCGAUAAGUCGACCGCCUGGGGAGUACGGCCGCAAGGUUAAAACUCAAAUGAAUUGACGGGGGCCCGCACAAGCGGUGGAGCAUGUGGUUUAAUUCGAUGCAACGCGAAGAACCUUACCUACCCUUGACAUCCUGCGAAUUCGGUAGAGAUACCUUAGUGCCUUCGGGGAACGCAGAGACAGGUGCUGCAUGGCUGUCGUCAGCUCGUGUUGUGAAAUGUUGGGUUAAGUCCCGUAACGAGCGCAACCCUUGUCCUUAUUUGCCAGCGCGUAAUGGCGGGAACUCUAAGGAGACUGCCGGUGACAAACCGGAGGAAGGUGGGGACGACGUCAAGUCAUCAUGGCCCUUACGGGUAGGGCUACACACGUGCUACAAUGGCCGGUACAAAGGGCGGCGAGCUCGCGAGAGUCAGCGAAUCCCUUAAAGCCGGUCUCAGUCCGGAUCGGAGUCUGCAACUCGACUCCGUGAAGUCGGAAUCGCUAGUAAUCGUGAA
RNAcentral lists this ribosomal RNA (797 nucleotides) under uncultured bacterium. Its description in RNAcentral is "bacterial SSU rRNA". It matches the Rfam family "Bacterial small subunit ribosomal RNA", at positions 553 to 1348 of the family's 1533-position model. The record is from RNAcentral.